Long non-coding RNA from Malaclemys terrapin pileata, 1972 nucleotides. RefSeq lists it as uncharacterized. The record is from RefSeq and is a predicted model, not a curated record. The transcript is spliced from 4 exons. NCBI's taxonomy places the organism in Eukaryota, Metazoa, Chordata, Testudines, Emydidae.
AGUAUGCUCUCAAACAUGUUUCAAUCCCAGCUGACAGAAAAAUCUCAGAAAUAAAUCCAAUGCACAGCUGAAAAUACUUUGGGCAUGUCUCCAAGGCUUCUCUAACUUUCUGAGGCUGCCAGUUCUCACAAGCUAAGCAGGUUGAGCUGCUCAUCAUUUGGAUGGAAGACCUCCAAGGAACAUCUAGACACUUUAAGAAAUGGUGUUGAUUAUUUACAUAUUUGUCCUGUGACUGCACACUGAUCACACUUCAUAAUUUGGAAGCAGUAAAACAAAGGAGAUUCAUUUGCAUUUGGAUGAUUUGCUGAUAUAUGGAUUUCACUUAAAUGGCUGCACAUGUCAGAAAUCAGAAUAUAUUGUCAUACAAGACCAAAUCAAGCUUUUCACUGCCACUUACUUUAUUAUCCCAAAAGGAAUUUGUUUAAUUAAAACUUACUUGCUCAUUGAAGUUCUGAAUUUUCCAAAGGAAAAUUUAAAAUUUUACAGCGAUUUAAUCUUUCAUGACAGGGCACAUAGCUCUAGUAUAUUCUGAAACUCAAACCUUUCCAAGGUAUCUAUCUUUGUGCUUUUAAUACAAAUUUUCAUGUAGUGAAAGCACUGAAAUUAAAGUCACUAUAAAAAUUUUAAAAAAAAUUUCUUGUGAUCCAAAUUUGAGAGUUGUUAUAGAAAAAAAAAUCUCCUUAUUUAUUUAUUUAUUUAUAUUGUAGUAGUACCAGGAAAGUCGGGGCCUCAUUUUCUUGGACACUUUACAGACAUACAAAGAAUGUGAGUUCCUGUCCUGACAAUCUAAAAGAUAUGCACCUGGAUGAGACAAUCAAAUGGGAGAGAUGUGGAUAACAAAUAACAGGAUGUGUGCAAUUCUUAGCCCAUCAUGAGCAGUGUUCACAGAUCACCAAUAUUUCCAAAUGUACUAGAGACAGACUAGGUAUUUUCAGAGUGCAGUGAGGAGCAUACCCAUUUUGCUGUCACGUUACGUGCACAGGUUGCACUGGUAAAAUGCUUACUGGAACGAGCACAGCAACAAAACAAGUAUGAUUUUUUAAAAAAAACAGAGGCAGAGACAGCCUAUUAGUGGUGCUUUGUCAUAUAUGGAAUCAGAGUUCAAAGUUCAACUCUAAUUUUGUCCCUACACAAGUAUGUAGGGACAAAAUUAGAAAGGCACAAAACAAGAUCAAACUAGCUAGGGACAUAAAGAGUAACAAGAAAACAUUCUACAAAUACAUUAGAAGCAAGAGGAAGACCAAGCCUGUUACUCAAUGAGGGGGGAAAGACAAUAACAGAAAAUGUGGAAAUGGCAGAGGUGCUUAAUGACUUCUUUGUUUUGGUUUUCACCAAGAAGGUUGGUGGCGAUUGGAAGUCUAAGGCUAGGUCUACACUACCGCCUGAAUCGGCGGGUAGAAAUCGACCUCUCGGGGAUCGAUUUAUCGCGUCCCGUUGGGACGCGACAAUCGAUCCCUUAAUCGACGCUCUUACUCCACCAGCGGAGGUGGGAGUAAGCGCCGUCGACAGGAAGCCAUGGAGGUCAAUUUUGCCGCGGUCCUCACAGCGGGGUAAGUCGGCUGCGAUACGUCGAAUUCAGCUACGCUAUUCACGUAGCUGAAUUUGCGUAUCUUAAAUCAACUCCCCCCUGUAGUGUAGAUGUAGCCUAACAUAGUGAAUGCCAGUGAAAAUGAGGUAGGAUCAGAGUCCAAAAUAGGGAAAUAAGUCAAAAAUUACUUAGGCCUGGUCUACACUAGGCGUUUAUGUCGAAGUUAGCGCCGUUACAUCGAAUUAACCCUGCACCCGUCCACACCGCGAAGGUAUUUAGUUCGACAUAGAGGUCUCUUUAAUUCGACUUCUGUACUCCUCCCCGACGAGGGGAGUAGCGCUAAAUUCGACAUGGCCAUGUCGAAUUAGGCUAGGUGUGGAUGGAAAUCGACGCUAAUAGCUCCGGGAGCUAUCCCACAGUGCACCACUCUGUUGACGCUCUGGA